Molecule: small RNA, 100 nt
Filed under: human gut metagenome
Description: Ribosomal protein L10 leader
Rfam family: Ribosomal protein L10 leader
About the family: This family is a putative r-protein leader autoregulatory structure found in B. subtilis and other low-GC Gram-positive bacteria. It is located in the 5' untranslated regions of mRNAs encoding ribosomal proteins L10 and L12 (rplJ-rplL).
Source: RNAcentral
AAAUUAGAAAAUAAAACCGAAGACAGCGGGUGCGAAAGCUUAAUUUCCCGCCGAGGUACAAUAUAAAAGAUUGGCCUCGCUUUUUGCGGGGCUUUUUUAU